This is an RNA transcript of Musa acuminata subsp. malaccensis (wild Malaysian banana), 2408 nucleotides long. It is a transcript of the gene named protein OCTOPUS-like, with no coding region annotated. The record is from RefSeq and is a predicted model, not a curated record. NCBI's taxonomy places the organism in Eukaryota, Viridiplantae, Streptophyta, Magnoliopsida, Zingiberales, Musaceae.
GAGUUGAGUCGUUCGUUGCUGGGGAGGGGAGGGGAGGGGAAGGGAGAAGGGGGCUUCCAUGACGGUCGAGAACGAGAGCCAUCGACACCACCACCAACUCUUGCCGCCUCUGCAACCUCAAAGACGCAUCCCUUCGUCCACGUGCGACCUGCACCCGGGCGAGACGGUCACCGGCUUCUGCGCCUCCUGCCUCCGCGAGCGCCUCGCGGGGCUCGAGGCACCUGCCGCAGCCUCCGGCCGUAGGUCCACCUCUGCCCUUCGAUCCGUCUUCUCCAUGGUCACCGUCGGCGCGGGCCCUGCCGCCGGGCCGUCCUCCCUCCGCCGCUCCAAGUCCUUCUCGUUCAGCCGUGGCGGCGACGUCUUCUCGGCGCAGCGGCCCCGCGCAUCCGCCUUGGAACCCCAGCGCAGGUCCUGCGACGUCCGCGGCCGCAGCACCCUUUGGUCCCUCUUCCAUCAGGACGACCGGGACAGGGUGGGUCAGAACCCUUCCAUCCCACCCUUCUCCUCCUCCUCCUCCUCUUCCUCCACCUCAACCUCCUCCGCGGCGGCGGCGGCGACGGCGCCGUCCACGAGCGGAGCGAUCGAGGUGGACUGCCGGAACCAAGGGCUUCCGGGCCCCUCCCUCGCUCCUCCAGUUUCCGGAACAUGCGAAGAGUAUGAGAUCGGCCAUGAGAUCAGGCCCAUUGGAACCUCGGGGGAGAUAAAUGAGGAAGGAAAGGGAGCAGCGGAGGAGGAGAUGGAGCUGAAGCCGAUGAAGGACCACAUAAAUCUCGACUCCGAGCAGCAGCAGCAACAUCAGGCGAAGAAGCCACCGCAAAAGGACUUCAAGGAGAUCGCCAGCAGCGUCUGGCUCGCCGCCUCCGUCUUCAGCAAAAAGCUCCAGAAAUGGCGGAGAAGACAGAAGCCAAAGAACCAAGGUGGCGAAGCGACAAUGCCGGCGGAGGAACCCCCUAAAACGUCGCGGCGGUUCCACGACACGCAGUCGGAAGUCGCCAUGGACUGCUCCGGCCGAAGAUCCUGCGACACCGACCCCCGCUUCUCUCUGGACGCCGCCCGGAUGUCCAUCGACGACCCCAGGUUCUCCUGGGACGAGCCGAGGGCCUCAUGGGACGGCUACCUGAUCGGAGGCCGAUCAGUGUUCCCUCGUCUCCCUCCCAUUCUCUCCGUCGUCGAGGACGCCCCUGCCCCGGCAGUCCAGCGGUCGGACUACCUUAUCCCCGUCGAGGCAGAUGCCGCCAUCCCAGGCGGGUCGGCACAGACCCGGGACUACUACUUGGAUUCAUCCAGCCAGCGCCGGCGAAGCCUUGACCGAUCGAGCUCCAUCAGGGAGCAGCCUGUCGAGAUCAGUGAGCCAAAGCCGGUCUCCAACAGCAGAGUAUCCCCUGCAGGCGGCAUGGACUUCUUCCCCUUCCACCAUGGUGCCUCACUUGAGCGGGAGGUAAAAGAUUGGAGCUCAAAUUCCCUGAGAGAUGAUUACUCCGGCAGUUUUGAGUCAGCUUUUAGGGACCUUAACAAAGGUGCUUCCGCGAAGAAGUCAAGCAGGUGGAGCAAAGCAUGGAACAUUUGGGGGCUUCUUCAGCGAAGAAAUAGUAGCAGAGGAGAAGCCAAUAUGGUUGACAGAUCCUUGUCGGAGUCAUGGCCGGAGCUGCGGUGCAAGAGCACCAAUGGCAGGAUUCUAAGGAGUAACAGCAGUGUAAGCUCGAGGGUCUCUUCUCAUGCCAAUGCUGGGUAUGGGGUGAUGAGAACGAGCAGCAUGAGGUCCAGUGGGAAUGAUAAGAAGAAGAGUAGAGAUGAACCCGUUCUGGAGAGGAAUAGAAGUGCUAGAUAUUCUCCAAACCAUAUUGAGAACGGUAUGCUGCGGUUUUACUUGACACCAAAGCGAAAUGCACGGAGGAAUGGAGUUUCAGCUAGCCGAAGGCAGAUGAUUCCUUCGCCUUACCUUGCAAGAAGCAUGCUAGGACUGUAUUGAUCUGACUGUUGAACUCUAUCAGCUGGAAAGGAGCCAAUUUGAAGAUUGAAGACUGCAGCACACUUCAGAAGGUCGAACCUACUAAAAGGGAUCGAAGUGGGAUGAUAUCUAAGAAGAUAGGAUUCAUCAGCUGGGAUUGUACUCUUGCCUUGUUUGUUCAUGAACCUCCACUGCCAAGUUAUUAGAUUUUGUUUGGGACAAAUUUGAAGUCAGCUUGAUGGUGAACACUAGUAACAUAUGCAUGACUAGGGAUUGGGAGGGUCAAGAGCUGAAGCUGGUUUGUGAAAAGUGUCAAAUGAUGCUGUGCACUCUACUAGGAGACCACUAUGGGGAGUUCAUCAAUUGAUUGUUCGGAUAAGAGGUUUUAGAGUGACAGCAUUCCUUGUAGUCAGUAGAUGAGUGUCAAGGUUUUUUAGUUUCUAGUGGAAUUAAAGUUCUA